UGGGGAAUUUUGGACAAUGGGCGAAAGCCUGAUCCAGCAAUGCCGCGUGUGUGAAGAAGGCCUUCGGGUUGUAAAGCACUUUUGUCCGGAAAGAAAUCCUUGGCUCUAAUACAGUCGGGGGAUGACGGUACCGGAAGAAUAAGCACCGGCUAACUACGUGCCAGCAGCCGCGGUAAUACGUAGGGUGCAAGCGUUAAUCGGAAUUACUGGGCGUAAAGCGUGCGCAGGCGGUUUGCUAAGACCGAUGUGAAAUCCCCGGGCUCAACCUGGGAACUGCAUUGGUGACUGGCAGGCUAGAGUAUGGCAGAGGGGGGUAGAAUUCCACGUGUAGCAGUGAAAUGCGUAGAGAUGUGGAGGAAUACCGAUGGCGAAGGCAGCCCCCUGGGCCAAUACUGACGCUCAUGCACGAAAGCGUGGGGAGUAAACAGGAUUAGAUACCCUGGUAGUCCACGCCCUAAACGAUGUCAACUAGUUGUUGGGGAUUCAUUCCUUAGUAACGUAGCUAACGCGUGAAGUUGACCGCCUGGGGAGUACGGUCGCAAGAUUAAAACUCAAAGGAAUUGACGGGGUCAUAGCUGUUUCCU
RNAcentral lists this ribosomal RNA (584 nucleotides) under uncultured bacterium. RNAcentral describes it as "partial 16S ribosomal RNA". It matches the Rfam family "Bacterial small subunit ribosomal RNA", at positions 355 to 1375 of the family's 1533-position model. The record is from RNAcentral.